UACGUAGGGGGCAAGCGUUGUCCGGAAUCAUUGGGCGUAAAGAGCGCGUAGGCGGCCCGGUAAGUCCGCUGUGAAAGUCAAGGGCUCAACCCUUGAAUGCCGGUGGAUACUGUCGGGCUAGAGUCCGGAAGAGGAGAAUGGAAUUCCCGGUGUAGCGGUGAAAUGCGCAGAUAUCGGGAAGAACACCCGUGGCGAAGGCGGUUCUCUGGGACGGUACUGACGCUGAGACGCGAAAGCGUGGGGAGCGAACAGG
This 253-nucleotide ribosomal RNA is filed under the name uncultured bacterium. RNAcentral describes it as "partial 16S ribosomal RNA". It matches the Rfam family "Bacterial small subunit ribosomal RNA", at positions 524 to 776 of the family's 1533-position model. The record is from RNAcentral.